AUUGAACGCUGGCGGCAGGCCUAACACAUGCAAGUCGAGCGGAUGAAGGGAGCUUGCUCCUGGAUUCAGCGGCGGACGGGUGAGUAAUGCCUAGGAAUCUGCCUGGUAGUGGGGGAUAACGUCCGGAAACGGGCGCUAAUACCGCAUACGUCCUGAGGGAGAAAGUGGGGGAUCUUCGGACCUCACGCUAUCAGAUGAGCCUAGGUCGGAUUAGCUAGUUGGUGGGGUAAAGGCCUACCAAGGCGACGAUCCGUAACUGGUCUGAGAGGAUGAUCAGUCAAACUGGAACUGAGACACGGUCCAGACUCCUACGGGAGGCAGCAGUGGGGAAUAUUGGACAAUGGGCGAAAGCCUGAUCCAGCCAUGCCGCGUGUGCGAAGAAGGUCUUCGGAUUGUAAAGCACUUUAAGUUGGGAGGAAGGGCAGUAAGUUAAUACCUUGCUGUUUUGACGUUACCAACAGAAUAAGCACCGGCUAACUUCGUG
This 484-nucleotide ribosomal RNA is filed under the name uncultured bacterium. RNAcentral describes it as "partial 16S ribosomal RNA". It matches the Rfam family "Bacterial small subunit ribosomal RNA", at positions 30 to 507 of the family's 1533-position model. The record is from RNAcentral.